This 597-nucleotide long non-coding RNA is filed under the name Oncorhynchus kisutch (coho salmon). RNAcentral's name for it is "lncRNA (ENSOKIG00005031494.1)". The record is from RNAcentral. Lineage: Eukaryota; Metazoa; Chordata; Actinopteri; Salmoniformes; Salmonidae.
CAGGUGGAGCAGAUGCUGAAGGAGCUGACGGACAGUAAGAACAACCUGGCCUAUGAGAAAGGGAAGCUACAGCUGUGUGAGCUGGAGGGCUGGCUAGGUGUGUCUCGUCAGGGUGGGGGCAGUGUGGCUCAGACCCUGGAGAAUAUUUUGGCCUCCCACUCCCGUCUGCAACACAACACAGAGUCUGUACAGAAGGAGGUGGGGCGACGAGAGCAGGAGCUAGCCUCACUCAGGAGAGAUGGGUAGGUGUGUGUCUGUCUGUCUGUCUGUUGUGCAUGUAUAUAUGGGUGUAUGUUUGAACAACCAAUGUAUUUGUCAGACUGCAGGGUCAGAGAGAGAUUCAGAGGCUACAGGCAGAGGUGGAGAAGCUCAAAGAAAAACGAAAUGCUGGAACCCUUGCAUAAGAACCUGGAUGUGGCAAGGCUGGACAACAAGAAACUAGCCCAGAGUUUGGAGCAGGUUGUGUUGGCCAACGGCCCUCUGCAGGCCAACCUAGACCAAGCCAGAGAUCCCAGAACACCAUCACACAGAGAGAGACGGAGCUGGCUGAGGCCAGAACAGAUAUUGGUCGAUGAUCAGAGCAUCUGGAAUCUAUAA